UCUUUUCGCUCGGUUCUAGCCCUACUGUCGAUACGGCGAACCGAGUGAAAAGACUA
This is a microRNA precursor of Gadus morhua (Atlantic cod), 56 nucleotides long. NCBI's taxonomy places the organism in Eukaryota, Metazoa, Chordata, Actinopteri, Gadiformes, Gadidae. The record is from Ensembl.